Molecule: non-coding RNA, 308 nt
Filed under: Symbiodinium sp. CCMP2430
Lineage: Eukaryota; Dinophyceae; Suessiales; Symbiodiniaceae
Source: RNAcentral
GAAGAUUAAAGGACCCAAAAUGUGAGGAAAUGGUCCAAAUCUUAUUGUUGUUCCUCGUUUAUAAUGAAUGAAAGAUGAAUGAGAAAAAGACAAAGAAACCAAAUGCUCAUUUCUUCAUUCAUUCGGUUCAGGUGCCGAGAGACGAGUGACGGUACGGUUUCUCUUUAAUUAAAAGAAGAUAAGGAAAAUGAAAGACACGUCCAAGAUUUAUUCCUCGUUCUUUUAUUGCAUUAGAAUGAAGAUAAAGAAGUAAAAGACUCAUGAUGGCAUUCCAUUUCAUUACAUUUAAUUUAUAGUUGUACCUUAUA